Molecule: long non-coding RNA, 207 nt
Filed under: Gallus gallus (chicken)
Lineage: Eukaryota; Metazoa; Chordata; Aves; Galliformes; Phasianidae
Source: RNAcentral
UUUCCUCUUCUUGCUUUUCCCUGGAGAACUCUCUUCUUGGGACCUCUCCAUUCUUUUCUGGGUGGUUCUGCCUACACCGCUGGGCAGGGAUGAAGAGCCAAAGAGGCGGCAUCGCCUGGCCCGACUGUCCGGCCUCCUGGUGACCAGCGGCGCAGUCCAGAGGCUCGCCACAUCAGAGGGCAUCUCCUCAUCAUUUUUCAGAUCUUG